Molecule: long non-coding RNA, 479 nt
Organism: Bufo gargarizans (Asiatic toad)
Lineage: Eukaryota; Metazoa; Chordata; Amphibia; Anura; Bufonidae
Exons: 5
Source: RefSeq, a predicted model, not a curated record
AGCAUAGCCAGCAGCGCGAUGUGAGUGUGGGAGCGCGUCAUCAGGGAUAAGGGGACCUUGGUCUGGAUCCAGCAGACAUAACGCCGACGCCAGUGACACCCUGGAUGAGGUGGGACCAGAUUUUAUUAGGACUGGGUCUAUCAGUUAUAAAGACUGCAGACGCUGCACAAGGAUGAGCUCCGAGGCCUCGCAAUCAGCCGAUCUGCAGGGAUCACAUGACGUUUAUGGCUCAGGGAUAGAGAUGUCGGUCUAUCAGUUAUAAAGACUGCAGACGCUGCACAGGGAUGAGCUCCGAGGCCUCGCAAUCAGCCGAUCUGCAGGGAUCACAUGACGUUUAUGGCUCAGGGACAGAGAUGCCGGAUGAACAUCUAAUCUGCUGUACCUGAGUUACGUCCAUACGGUUCCUUAGUCUGCUGUAUCCAGGGUGCAUCCGGAAGAUUGUUUUUCUUCGGUUCCUGUGUUCGGUUCCUGUUUCCUAC